CACUGGGGCAGGGGGGAAGGGAUCUGGGUUGGGCUCCUCUUCAUUGCCACGCUCUCUGUUAUCCUCACCACAAAUCCUUCAACUCCACACCACGACUCUGUAUGUAUUGCCCCCUCUUCCCUAAAUCCAUUCUCUCCCAAUUAUUUAUUUAAUUAAUCGAUGUUUAGAUUGAAAUUUCAAAGCUUUAGCAAAACCUAGAUGUUAAUUUCACUGAUUAAUCACAACCCACGUUCUAAUUUUCACAUCUAAACAAAUCCCAGAUUGGAAACAAAAAGAAAACGCAUGUGAAAAUCUUGGAGUAGUACAAAACCUAGAUGUUAAAUUUUCAAUUAGAUAGGAUUGAAGUUUUAAUCUUGAUGUUUAAUUGAUUGCGGGCACUUCCAAUAACUGGGAUAUGGGUUUCACCGACGGGAUCAUGGUUCUAAGUUUUAUGGUUGUUCUCCUUCUUCUUCUUCUUCUUCUUCUUCUUUCAAGGUUCAGGUACGGGGUGAUGGGAUUUGGAUCUUCUAACCUUUUUUUUAUUAUUUAUUUAGAAGAUUAAGUUUUUUUUUUAAAUUAAAAAAAAAAAAAAUUUUGCCACGUGGCAUACAUUUGGCAGCACGUGGCACAAAUGUGGCAGCCACGUCAGCACUUAACAGAUCAAUGGAUGGAAAAUGUAACAGAUGUAUUAUUUUGAAAUAAAAUAGUACAUGAGGUAUGAAAGUGAAAUGUUUUAAAGAUGUUGUAUGAGGUUGUAAUAAACCUCAAAACCUGAAGGGCUACUAUGUAAUUUACCCUAAAAUUAAUUAAAAAAAUUGUUACUGCACAACGAACACUUGGUCGCGUAAAGUUUUUAUGAACUAGUGUCCUAUAUGAAGUAUUCGUCAUGUAGAAUUAUUGGCCACCAGACUCACCAUCUCAUGUACUGUAUCUCGUUUAGCUCACUUUGUUGCAUCAGGUUACAUGCGACAAACUCAUUUCGUUCCUUUAUAUUCUGCGUGACAGCGUCUAUUUCGUCACACUUGUUCAUUCUUGCGCAGCAAAAUUUUUGUUCUUGUUGCGCAAAGUCUGUUUUCAUGACCCUUGAGCGACGAUUUAUGCGCGACGAACUUUUUGUCGCAAAAAUUCCAAUGGGACGCUAUGUCGUUUUACACGACGAAUUGCCCUU
This 1147-nucleotide long non-coding RNA is filed under the name Malus domestica (apple). RNAcentral describes it as "long non-coding RNA (MDOM_LNC004447)". Lineage: Eukaryota; Viridiplantae; Streptophyta; Magnoliopsida; Rosales; Rosaceae. The record is from RNAcentral.